Non-coding RNA from Oryctolagus cuniculus (rabbit), 660 nucleotides. NCBI's taxonomy places the organism in Eukaryota, Metazoa, Chordata, Mammalia, Lagomorpha, Leporidae. The record is from RefSeq and is a predicted model, not a curated record.
UAUGAAACUUAAAAACAACACUACUAGUCGAACAAUGCCCUAUACCUUGUGCGGUUGUGUGAGUGCAGCCUGUUGAAAUCCUUGCUUAGUGUAUACUAAGUUGAUCUUCUGUAUAUGAAGGCCUCCCUCAUGCCACAGAGACUGAAGUAGAACUCCCCUUACCCAGAACAUCAACCAGGAAGCAGACACAAGGAGACCUUCUCUGAUUAAAGGAGUGAGGGCCAGAAACUUGGCAGCUCCAUCUCCCCGAAGACCAUCCCCAACCCAGAGCCAAACAUCUGGCCAACAGAACUGUGACCUGCUCAGAAUCAUGAACCUAAUGCUCAUACAAGAUGGCUUCAAAACAUUACUGGGAAAAUGGAAUUGAAAGAUAAGUUUAGGGCCAGCACCAUGGCGUAGCAGGUUAAGCUUCCUCCUGCAGCACCGGCAUCAGAUAUGGGCGCCAGUUCACGUCCCAGCUGCUCCUCUUCGGAUCCAGCUCUCUGCUAUUGGUCUAGGAAAGCAGUGGAAGAUGUCCCAAGUGCUUGGGCCCCUGCUACCCACGUGAGAGAACUGGAAGACGCUCCUGGCUCCUGGUUUGGCCUAGCCCAGCCCGACUAUUGCAGCCAUGUGGGGAGUGAACCAGUGGAUGGAAAAUUUCUCUCUCUCCCUCUCUUUCUG